UGACCGAUUUACAGUGAUUGAAUUUUGAGUGAUUUUCUUGAUUGGUUUAAGAACAUCUUUAUUGUGAGCGAUUUAAGCAUGGAGGUAAGCGAUUUGUUGAGCGAUUUACAGCUAGUAUUGAUCGAUUUAGACUUAUAGCUUAAUCGAUUUAGGAAUCUGAUUGAUCGAUUUAGAGAUUAAUUUUGAGCUAUUUUACAGAAUCUGCUUGAGCGAUUUAGUUGACUGCUUGAUCGAUUUAGUUGAUUGCUUGAUCGAUUUAGCUGUCUGUUUGAGCGAUUUAUAGAAUAGGCUUGAGCGAUUUGAGAAAGUGUUUGAGCGGUUUAGAUAAUAGGUUUGAGCGAUUAAGGAUCCAGAUUAAGCGAUUUAGGGUUUAAUUCGCAGAUAACUUGAGUGGUCAAGGGACUUGACAGCUUGAUCGAUUUUUACCUAAAUUGAUUGAGUAUCCGAUUCAGUCACCAUCUCCAAGGUCGUCCGGACAUCUUCAUCGGAUAACAGCAGUGCUUGACCGUAUUUGACUACUUUGUACAAGGCUGUAUGGAACUUCACUGUAAAUGUUGUUGUCGCUAACAUCCAGUUGCUUCAAGUGAUGGAGAUUAUUGAGCUGGUAACCAAGGUUUCCACUAAUGUUUAGACUGUCAAGUUUGAUUUGAAUGAUUGAAGAACCAACACAGGAAACGGGUUUGCUUUCUGGGAUUAUGAGCAGCAGCAAGAUGGCAUGAAAGGAAACAGAUGGAGGAUUUCAUUUUAGGCAGACAGUUUGAUUUUGAAUAGGAGGUGAAUAAAGAUUAAGAGCUUCGAUCGUCUGUUGUAAAGAAUGUUGCUGGAAGAUUGAAGUUUUUAUGAAGAAGAGCAAGUGUGGAGUCUGUUGUGGAGUCCAAGAGUGGGGAUAUUAAGCAGAAUAAGCAGCUGAUGAAAUCCCAUGAAGCCUGGCGUUAAUGUGAACCAACUGAAGUGCAUUGUGAGCAAGGUUUUCAACAGGAAGCAUCUGUGCAAUUUUUUUUAAUCUGAAUGUUUAAAACGGCCUUCACUUUAAGCUUUGACUUUUAGGAGUUUUAUUAGGCCUGUGAACUACUCACUGUCUUGGUCUAUGCUGUUGAUCUUAAUACAGAAUCACAGAGACACAGAGACACAAUGGUAGAUGGUCUAUGCUGAAAUGGUUUUCGAGGGGAAUUUAGUGGAGUGCAUGAUAUGGGAAGAAUCAGCUGUUGUUACUGCAUCAAUCAAUACUGUUGAGAUGAUUAAUCCAUUAUAUGAGCAAGCCAUUUUACUUGUUAA
Molecule: long non-coding RNA, 1275 nt
Organism: Cynara cardunculus var. scolymus (artichoke)
Lineage: Eukaryota; Viridiplantae; Streptophyta; Magnoliopsida; Asterales; Asteraceae
Exons: 2
Source: RefSeq, a predicted model, not a curated record